Molecule: ribosomal RNA, 219 nt
Filed under: uncultured Lactobacillus sp.
Lineage: Bacteria; Bacillati; Bacillota; Bacilli; Lactobacillales; Lactobacillaceae
Description: partial 16S ribosomal RNA
Rfam family: Bacterial small subunit ribosomal RNA
Source: RNAcentral
UAACACCUGGUAAACAGAUGCUAAUACCGGAUAACAACAGAUGAUGCCUAUCAACUGUUUAAAAGAUGGUUCUGCUAUCACUCUUGGAUGGACCUGCGGUGCAUUAGCUAGUUGGUAGGGUAACGGCCUACCAAGGCGAUGAUGCAUAGCCGAGUUGAGAGACUGAUCGGCCACAUUGGGACUGAGACACGGCCCAAACUCCUACGGGAGGCAGCAGUC